CAUUAGAUGACUGAAAGCAAGUAAUGGUCUCUUAAACCACACUAUAGUAGAUGGCAACUACUUCUAAUGA
This 70-nucleotide transfer RNA is filed under the name Eupolyphaga sp. NS-2016. RNAcentral describes it as "tRNA-Lys". Lineage: Eukaryota; Metazoa; Arthropoda; Insecta; Blattodea; Corydiidae. The record is from RNAcentral.